CAAAUCCUUUGCUGCUCCUACAAGAAAUAGAACAUUGUUAUUACUUUGAGCAGAGUCGUUUUUCAGAAAUAUAAUCACAAUAUAAUGUUUAUAGAAUCAAAUUAUUCGCCAAGAAAUAAAACAUAAUAUACUCAGACCAGACGAGGUUGCUUCUCGUUCAUACUUUUAACCUGGUCAAAGUAAUGCAAAAGGUUCAAACGACAGACAAAUUUGUCAGUGACAUCUUUCAGUUGAAGCAUUAUGUAGAUUAGUAAACACCUGGACAAAUUUUAAAACCACAUAAAACCAUAAAAGUAAAGUGACAUAAUACCGUGAAAUCAAUUUACCUUAAGAGGAAGUAACGAAAAGAUGUUUGGCUUUCCCAUAUUCACAAGCCUUGUAAUUCGUACUGUCAUCAUUGAGUGUUGUGUUGUAAGUUGUUAUGGCCACGAUAACGCAAUACCUAACAAACAAAUCUACAUUCCGUUGUUGCACCGUCAGACGAAGCUCUGCCUGCAAACAUUUUACACUUUAGCAAUCAUAAAACAAUAUCAAAACUUAUGUGAUUUUGGUUUAUCUUCAAGGGUGUCGACGAUAUACCAAACCCUCCUUUACAGAUCACUUAGUUGACGUUGUUUGUAAUAUACAUGCUUAACUAAAGUGAAUUAUCUCUUGAAUACACUAGGAAAGUAAAUACUUUUACUAACCCAUUUAGUUAUGACCUUACUUAUUUCUUUUCCUUGGCAUGAUGCAUAUCAUAACUAUUGCAACAACGAUUCUGUUCCCAUCCCCAAAUGAACGUGAGUGACCAAUGCUAGGUUCAUUCACACAUGAAACCU
RNAcentral lists this long non-coding RNA (818 nucleotides) under Capsella rubella. Its description in RNAcentral is "long non-coding RNA (CRUB_LNC001777)". Lineage: Eukaryota; Viridiplantae; Streptophyta; Magnoliopsida; Brassicales; Brassicaceae. The record is from RNAcentral.